Long non-coding RNA from Argentina anserina (silverweed cinquefoil), 982 nucleotides. RefSeq lists it as uncharacterized. The record is from RefSeq and is a predicted model, not a curated record. NCBI's taxonomy places the organism in Eukaryota, Viridiplantae, Streptophyta, Magnoliopsida, Rosales, Rosaceae. The transcript has 3 exons.
UCAGAGAAGUUUACACUAAUGGAGCUUACAAAAUUGUGGCGGAAGACGGUUUGAGGAUCGGUCCCAUCAACGGAAAGUUCUUGAAAAAGUAUUAUGCUUGAAAAAAAAAGUAUGCUCCAAGUCUGCAUGAGCUGAAACUGCGCAAGACACAUAAAACAAAAAAAAAACAAAAAAAUGCUCCACGCCUGCAUGAGCUUAAACUGCACAAGGCACCAAAAAAAAAACCCCUUGAACUACGUGAUGACUUGAUUCUUUCUUUAGAAGGAUACGUAGGCAGCUUAAGAAUAACAAUCUUAAGUUCAGUCACAUCAAAAUAAAAAUAAGGGUUUGUCUGCCAAUCAUGCAAAUUCUUAUUUCACUGAUAGUAAGUUGAAUUUCAAAAUCGAUUGAUUACAAGAUGAUUGAAAAAAAAAAAAAAAGGAGGAGCAAGUCUUGACCAAUAAAGUCAGUUAUCACAUCCAGAUCAAACCCUUGAAGCUGCUCCGACGUUCUUCAAAGCUGGCUCUCAGUUCUGGAAUAUCUCGGAUUGGACACUUCUUCUUUUACUUGAAGCUGCUCCGACGUUCUUCAAAACUGGCUCUCAGUUCUGGAAUCUCUCGGAUUCGGCACUUCCUCUUUGACUUGAAGUCGUUCCGACGUUCUUCAAAGCUGGCUCUCAGUUCUGGAAUCUCUCGGAUUUGGCACUUCUUCUGUUUCGGAUCAACAAGUCUUGCAUCGUUCUUCAAACUCUUGAAAGCCUCCAUGUUGAAUGUGAUGCGUAAAGCCUAAUUCACUUUUGUUGACUGCCGUCAAGUCUAUGAAUUGAGAGCAGUCAAGCGAUUAGGUCGUUUACGUUCUUCAAACUCUUGAAAUCCUCCAUGUUGAAUGUGAUGCGUAAAGCCUAAUCCGCUUUUGUUGACUGCCGUCAAGUCUAUGAAUUGAGAGCAGUCAAGCGAUUAGGUCGUUUACGUUCUUCAAAUCCGCCAGAAAUCAAUGCGUUUCG